GACGAACCGUGCGAACGUUGUUCGGAAUCAUUGGGCUUAAAGGGCGCGUAGGCGGGCUGACAAGUCAGGGGUGAAAGCCCACGGCUCAACCGUGGAAGUGCCUUUGAUACUGCCAGUCUGGAGGGAGGUAGGGGCGUGCGGAACUUCCGGUGGAGCGGUGAAAUGCGUAGAUAUCGGAAGGAACACCGGUGGCGAAAGCGGCGCGCUGGACCUCUUCUGACGCUGAGGCGCGAAAGCCAGGGGAGCGAACGGG
This 253-nucleotide ribosomal RNA is filed under the name uncultured bacterium. RNAcentral describes it as "partial 16S ribosomal RNA". It matches the Rfam family "Bacterial small subunit ribosomal RNA", at positions 524 to 776 of the family's 1533-position model. The record is from RNAcentral.